Molecule: ribosomal RNA, 460 nt
Filed under: uncultured bacterium
Lineage: Bacteria
Description: partial 16S ribosomal RNA
Rfam family: Bacterial small subunit ribosomal RNA
Source: RNAcentral
CCUACGGGAGGCAGCAGUGAGGAAUAUUGGUCAAUGGACGAGAGUCUGAACCAGCCAAGUAGCGUGAAGGAUGACUGCCCUAUGGGUUGUAAACUUCUUUUAUAUGGGAAUAAAAUGUUCCACGUGUGGGAUUUUGUAUGUACCAUAUGAAUAAGGAUCGGCUAACUCCGUGCCAGCAGCCGCGGUAAUACGGAGGAUCCGAGCGUUAUCCGGAUUGAUUGGGUUUAAAGGGAGCGUAGGUGGAUUGGUAAGUCAGUUGUGAAAGUUUGCGGCUCAACCGUGAAAUUGCAGUUGAAACUGGCAGUCUUGAGUACAGUAGAGGUGGGCGGAAUUCGUGGUGUAGCGGUGAAAUGCUUAGAUAUCACGAAGAACUCCGAUUGCGAAGGCAGCUCACUGGACUGCAACUGACACUGAGGCUCGAAAGUGUGGGUAUCAAACAGGAUUAGAUACCCGGGUAGUC